CACGUAGGCACCAAGCGUUGUCCGGAUUUAUUGGGCGUAAAGAGCUCGUAGGCGGUUCAGUAAGUCGGGUGUGAAAACUCUGGGCUCAACCCAGAGACGCCACCCGAUACUGCUGUGACUUGAGUACGGUAGGGGAGUGGAGAAUUCCUGGUGUAGUGGUGAAAUGCGCAGAUAUCGGGAGGAACACCAGUGGCGAAGGCGACUGCCUGGCCCAUUCUUGACGCUGAGGCGCGAAAGCUAGGGGAGCGAACGGG
RNAcentral lists this ribosomal RNA (254 nucleotides) under uncultured bacterium. Its description in RNAcentral is "partial 16S ribosomal RNA". It matches the Rfam family "Bacterial small subunit ribosomal RNA", at positions 524 to 776 of the family's 1533-position model. The record is from RNAcentral.